GCCCUUGUGGCGUAGUGGUAGCGCGUCGCACUUGUAGCACCGUCAUGGUCGCCUUCAUGCGAAGGUCCCUAGUUCAAUCCUGGGCGGGGGCA
Molecule: transfer RNA, 92 nt
Rfam family: tRNA
About the family: Transfer RNA (tRNA) molecules are approximately 80 nucleotides in length.
Source: Rfam